GUCUUUUAGAAGUUAAUUAAAAGUCAAAUCUGCUCCAUGAAAUUUUUAAAUAGCUGCAGUAUUUUAACUGUACAAAGGUAGCAUAAUCAAUAGUUUUUUAAUUGUAAACUGGAAUGAAAGAUUAAAUAAAAUAAAAUCUUUUUUAUUAAUAUUAAUAAAAUUUUUUUUUUAGUUAAAAAGCUAAAAUAUUAUAAAAAGACGAGAAGACCCUAUAGAUUUUUAUAAUUAUUUUUAUUGUAAAUUAAUUUAUAUAUAAUAUAUAAUAAUUAUUUGAUUGGGGUGAUUAUUAAAUUAAUUUAACUUUAUAUUAUUAAACCAAUAAUUAUUGAAUAAUUGAUUUUAAAUUUUAUAUUAUUAGAAUAAAAUACCUUAGGGAUAACAGCGUAAUUAAAUUGGAUAGUUCAUAUUAAUAAUUUAGAUUGC
RNAcentral lists this ribosomal RNA (423 nucleotides) under Tersilochus jocator. Its description in RNAcentral is "partial 16S ribosomal RNA". Lineage: Eukaryota; Metazoa; Arthropoda; Insecta; Hymenoptera; Ichneumonidae. The record is from RNAcentral.